RNAcentral lists this ribosomal RNA (1381 nucleotides) under uncultured bacterium. Its description in RNAcentral is "bacterial SSU rRNA". It matches the Rfam family "Bacterial small subunit ribosomal RNA", at positions 18 to 1394 of the family's 1533-position model. The record is from RNAcentral.
CCUGGCUCAGGAUGAACGCUAGCUACAGGCUUAACACAUGCAAGUCGAGGGGCAGCAUGGUCUUAGCUUGCUAAGGCCGAUGGCGACCGGCGCACGGGUGAGUAACACGUAUCCAACCUGCCGUCUACUCUUGGACAGCCUUCUGAAAGGAAGAUUAAUACAAGAUGGCAUCAUGAGUCCGCAUGUUCACAUGAUUAAAGGUAUUCCGGUAGACGAUGGGGAUGCGUUCCAUUAGAUAGUAGGCGGGGUAACGGCCCACCUAGUCUUCGAUGGAUAGGGGUUCUGAGAGGAAGGUCCCCCACAUUGGCACUGAGACACGGUCCAAACUCCUACGGGAGGCAGCAGUGAGGAAUAUUGGUCAAUGGGCGAGAGCCUGAACCAGCCAAGUAGCGUGAAGGAUGACUGCCCUAUGGGUUGUAAACUUCUUUUAUAAAGGAAUAAAGUCGGGUAUGGAUACCCGUUUGCAUGUACUUUAUGAAUAAGGAUCGGCUAACUCCGUGCCAGCAGCCGCGGUAAUACGGAGGAUCCGAGCGUUAUCCGGAUUUAUUGGGUUUAAAGGGAGCGUAGAUGGAUGUUUAAGUCAGUUGUGAAAGUUUGCGGCUCAACCGUAAAAUUGCAGUUGAUACUGGAUAUCUUGAGUGCAGUUGAGGCAGGCGGAAUUCGUGGUGUAGCGGUGAAAUGCUUAGAUAUCACGAAGAACUCCGAUUGCGAAGGCAGCCUGCUAAGCUGCAACUGACAUUGAGGCUCGAAAGUGUGGGUAUCAAACAGGAUUAGAUACCCUGGUAGUCCACACGGUAAACGAUGAAUACUCGCUGUUUGCGAUAUACUGCAAGCGGCCAAGCGAAAGCGUUAAGUAUUCCACCUGGGGAGUACGCCGGCAACGGUGAAACUCAAAGGAAUUGACGGGGGCCCGCACAAGCGGAGGAACAUGUGGUUUAAUUCGAUGAUACGCGAGGAACCUUACCCGGGCUUAAAUUGCAGAUGAAUUACGGUGAAAGCCGUAAGCCGCAAGGCAUCUGUGAAGGUGCUGCAUGGUUGUCGUCAGCUCGUGCCGUGAGGUGUCGGCUUAAGUGCCAUAACGAGCGCAACCCUUGUUGUCAGUUACUAACAGGUUCCGCUGAGGACUCUGACAAGACUGCCAUCGUAAGAUGUGAGGAAGGUGGGGAUGACGUCAAAUCAGCACGGCCCUUACGUCCGGGGCUACACACGUGUUACAAUGGGGGGUACAGAGGGCCGCUACCACGCGAGUGGAUGCCAAUCCCCAAAACCUCUCUCAGUUCGGACUGGAGUCUGCAACCCGACUCCACGAAGCUGGAUUCGCUAGUAAUCGCGCAUCAGCCACGGCGCGGUGAAUACGUUCCCGGGCCUUGUACACACCGCC